GAAUUCUAUUUAGCCUUUGAAAAGGAUGAGACCCUGNNNNNNNNNNNNNNNNNNNNNNNNNGAGGCCCAGGUCAGUGAGGUCCAGGCCAGGUGAGAUCCAGGUCAGGUGAUGUCCAGGCCAGGUGAGGUCAAGGCCAGUGAGGCCCAGGCCAGGUCAGUGAAGUCCAGGCCAGGUGAGGCCCAGGGCAGGUAAGGUCCAGGCCAGGUGAUGUCCAGGGCAGGUGAGGUCCAGGCCAGGUGAUGUCCAGGUCAGGUGAGGUCCAGGGCAGGUGAGGUCCAGGCCAGGGGAGGCCCAGGUCAGGGGAGGCUCAGGUGCGUGUGCCAGGCUUCUGUGGUUUUCUCCCGGUGCCGACCUCGCCUGGCGUCCCUGCCCCUCCUCCCAGCCCCCUCUGCGCCUGCCCAUUGGCAGUCCCUGCAGGGUGGUGCUGGCUGUGGAGGGGCUGGGCUCGGCCUCCCCGUGCAUGGGCGUCCCUCUGGGCCCUGGUCUGGAGUGUGGCUGAGCUGCUUCUCUCUGGGAUGCACCGACUGUGCCCUCCUCGCUGGUCCGCGGCUCCGUGCUUGCUCCACGUCAGGCCCCAGGAGCUGCCAGCAGGGCGCCUGCCACCUGUCCGGGGAUGCCAGGGAGAGCUGAGCCGCUCGUUCCAACGUGCUGUAACGUGUUUGUCCUGCUCUGUUCUGUUGGCGGACUUGCCGGCCCUGCGAGGCUCCGUUCACACCCUCUUCCUCCCCAGGAGAAGUCACCGCUGCUGUGUUUACGUGACCGUCUUUUCUCGGUUUUCUUUGUGGUUUUCUAACUGGGAAAUGUGUCCCUUAAGAAGGUAG
This 822-nucleotide long non-coding RNA is filed under the name Aotus nancymaae (Ma's night monkey). Its description in RNAcentral is "lncRNA (ENSANAG00000038576.1)". The record is from RNAcentral. Lineage: Eukaryota; Metazoa; Chordata; Mammalia; Primates; Aotidae.